UUGAACGCUGGCGGCAGGCCUCACACAUGCAAGUCGAACGGUAACAGGAAGAAGCUUGCUUCUUUGCUGAUGAGUGGCGGACGGGUGAGUAAUGUCUGGGAAACUGCCUGAUGGAGGGGGAUAACUACUGGAAACGGUAGCUAAUACCGCAUAACGUCGCAAGACCAAAGAGGGGGACCUUCGGGCCUCUUGCCAUCGGAUGUGCCCAGAUGGGAUUAGCUAGUAGGUGGGGUAACGGCUCACCUAGGCGACGAUCCCUAGCUGGUCUGAGAGGAUGACCAGCCACACUGGAACUGAGACACGGUCCAGACUCCUACGGGAGGCAGCAGUGGGGAAUAUUGCACAAUGGGCGCAAGCCUGAUGCAGCCAUGCCGCGUGUAUGAAGAAGGCCUUCGGGUUGUAAAGUACUUUCAGCGGGGAGGAAGGGAGUAAAGUUAAUACCUUUACUCAUUGACGUUACCCGCAGAAGAAGCACCGGCUAACUCCGUG
RNAcentral lists this ribosomal RNA (489 nucleotides) under uncultured bacterium. Its description in RNAcentral is "partial 16S ribosomal RNA". It matches the Rfam family "Bacterial small subunit ribosomal RNA", at positions 30 to 507 of the family's 1533-position model. The record is from RNAcentral.